GGAGAUUUCAUUCGUGAUGAGCCAAUAGUAGAACGACAGAUGGAGAAGAGACAUCAUGCCUUUUCAUGCGCGACAACUCAGGGUUGAACUUAGAAAUGAACUGAGCGUUGGGAGAAAAGUAAAUGAAUUAUUUCUUUUUUCCAUGGCAACGCAUGGGCAUUGUCCUAGUCUCUCCCUAAUAAUAAGCAAAUACGGUUUCUGGUCGUCCGUCGUGGCUGUUUUG
This 223-nucleotide long non-coding RNA is filed under the name Hordeum vulgare. RNAcentral's name for it is "long non-coding RNA (HVUL_LNC015078)". Lineage: Eukaryota; Viridiplantae; Streptophyta; Magnoliopsida; Poales; Poaceae. The record is from RNAcentral.